Molecule: ribosomal RNA, 450 nt
Filed under: uncultured bacterium
Lineage: Bacteria
Description: bacterial SSU rRNA
Rfam family: Bacterial small subunit ribosomal RNA
Source: RNAcentral
GUGGGGAAUUUUGGACAAUGGGGGCAACCCUGAUCCAGCCAUUCCGCGUGAGUGAAGAAGGCCUUCGGGUUGUAAAGCUCUUUCAGCCGGAACGAAACGGUACGCUCUAACAUAGCGUGCUAAUGACGGUACCGGCAGAAGAAGCACCGGCUAACUACGUGCCAGCAGCCGCGGUAAUACGUAGGGUGCGAGCGUUAAUCGGAAUUACUGGGCGUAAAGCGUGCGCAGGCGGAUUGUUAAGCAAGAUGUGAAAUCCCCGGGCUUAACCUGGGAAUGGCAUUUUGAACUGACAGUCUAGAGUGUGUCAGAGGGGGGUGGAAUUCCACGUGUAGCAGUGAAAUGCGUAGAUAUGUGGAGGAACACCAAUGGCGAAGGCAGCCCCCUGGGAUAACACUGACGCUCAUGUACGAAAGCGUGGGUAGCAAACAGGAUUAGAAACCCGAGUAGUCC